RNAcentral lists this ribosomal RNA (253 nucleotides) under uncultured bacterium. Its description in RNAcentral is "partial 16S ribosomal RNA". It matches the Rfam family "Bacterial small subunit ribosomal RNA", at positions 524 to 776 of the family's 1533-position model. The record is from RNAcentral.
UACAGAGGGUGCGAGCGUUGUCCGGAAUCACUGGGCGUAAAGCGCACGUAGGCGGCUUCUUAAGUCAGGGGUGAAAUCCUGGAGCUCAACUCCAGAACUGCCUUUGAUACUGAGGAGCUCGAGUCCGGGAGAGGUGAGUGGAACUGCGAGUGUAGAGGUGAAAUUCGUAGAUAUUCGCAAGAACACCAGUGGCGAAGGCGGCUCACUGGCCCGGUACUGACGCUGAGGUGCGAAAGCGUGGGGAGCAAACAGG